Molecule: ribosomal RNA, 466 nt
Filed under: uncultured bacterium
Lineage: Bacteria
Description: partial 16S ribosomal RNA
Rfam family: Bacterial small subunit ribosomal RNA
Source: RNAcentral
GAUGAACGCUGGCGGCGUGCUUAACACAUGCAAGUCGAACGGAAAGGCCCAAGCUUGCUUGGGUACUCGAGUGGCGAACGGGUGAGUAACACGUGGGUGAUCUGCCCUGCACUUCGGGAUAAGCCUGGGAAACUGGGUCUAAUACCGGAUAGGACCACAUUUUGGAUGGUGUGGUGGAAAGUUUUUCGGUGUGGGAUGAGCUCGCGGCCUAUCAGCUUGUUGGUGGGGUAAUGGCCUACCAAGGCGUCGACGGGUAGCCGGCCUGAGAGGGUGUACGGCCACAGUGGGACUGAGAUACGGCCCAGACUCCUACGGGAGGCAGCAGGGGGGAAUAUUGCACAAUGGGCGCAAGCCUGAUGCAGCGACGCCGCGUGGGGGAUGACGGCCUUCGGGUUGUAAACUCCUUUCGCUAGGGACGAAGCGUUAUGUGACGGUACCUGGAGAAGAAGCACCGGCUAACUACGUG